UACAGAGGUCUCAAGCGUUGUUCGGAUUCAUUGGGCGUAAAGGGUGCGUAGGCGGCGUGGUAAGUCGGAUGUGAAAUCUCGGAGCUUAACUCCGAAACUGCAUUCGAUACUGCCGUGCUUGAGGACUGGAGAGGAGACUGGAAUUCAUGGUGUAGCAGUGAAAUGCGUAGAGAUCAUGAGGAAGACCAGUGGCGAAGGCGGGUCUCUGGACAGUUCCUGACACUGAGGCACGAAGGCCAGGGGAGCAAACGGG
RNAcentral lists this ribosomal RNA (253 nucleotides) under uncultured bacterium. RNAcentral describes it as "partial 16S ribosomal RNA". It matches the Rfam family "Bacterial small subunit ribosomal RNA", at positions 524 to 776 of the family's 1533-position model. The record is from RNAcentral.